GAGCUCAAUUCAGCAGCACAUACACUAAAAUUGAAAUGAUACAGAGAAGAUUAGCAUGGUCCCUGUGCAAGGAUGACAUGCAAAUUCGUGAAGCAUUCCAUAUUUAA
Molecule: small nuclear RNA, 107 nt
Filed under: Castor canadensis (American beaver)
Lineage: Eukaryota; Metazoa; Chordata; Mammalia; Rodentia; Castoridae
Source: RNAcentral